GAUCAGGUUUACAUUAAAAACAUCUGGAUCAGGUUCGUUUAUCACCUGCUUUUUACCAAGAUUUGAUCAAAGUUUCACACUCCUGUGUAGGUCGAUUUGCACAUCAACGGCCAUCACAUAAUUAUGCCCAUGCAAGUUGAAAUUAUUUAUUCUUCGGAUGCAUAAGUAGGCAUAUGUACCACGGAUGCAUGUUAUGAUUGUUGAGAUCCGAGGAUUCAUGCAUGGAAGGUGCGUACGAGUACAUUAGCAGACGAUCAUCAGUAAAAAAGAGGCUCCUUACACUCAAUAGUAAGAACUAGCAGAAAGAGGCUCUUUACAAAGGAUCAUCAGUACCAGCAAGUAGACAGAGAAGCGGGAGCCUGGAUAGGCCAAUGGUUUGCUAUAGCGGCAAGAGUUUCUGCACAAGAGAAGAUGCAAGCUACGUAAUGCAUACAAUCUCUCCUACGUGAACUCAAUGUUUUUUAAUCAGCUUCGUGCCUUUUUCAAUCACCAUGCUUAAAGAAUCUGUUUGGUCAUAUCCUUAUACGGAUGACGUACAUGCAAGCAUAUGCUCACACAUCAUUCAUGCAUCCUUGCAACUACAAUCGAUAGGAGAAUUAUUUAGGCUAUACGAUGCUUAGUGUACCCACCCAUUUAGCGUAAGUACAUCACUUAAUUUUCGUUACAUCAAAAUUAUUAAUUCAUAAACCUUUAAUAUGAUGUAGAAGUUCCCAUGUUCACUUCAUUAUAAGCUUACAACUGCAUAUCUCAUCUAAUCAAUGAGUACAGACUAUAGUUUUCUUUAUUUUUGCCUGCAAUUUAAUUGUCUGUUCCUUGAACACACAACCAGAUGUAAGGACAUAGUGGUUCCAGGUUUACAAGGAAAACCAUCCAAACUGAAAAGAGCAUACACCUUAUGAUUACUAUUUGUCUCUCACCUGCUCUAUGUAACAAAAUUAUUAUUUGACUUAUUUAAAUGAUUUAUUCCAACCACGUUGAUACCUCAAUUGUGUGAACCAAAAGUCUAAAUUGCAAAGUCCCUUCGACCUGAAAUGCUAAAGAAGAAUGAUGUGUCAUAAUGAACAGUGUAUUGGGUAAUCCACCAGUUCUCGACAUACUAAUUUGCAAAAAUCAUAUAGUAGUAUUGCUACUUACAGUGGUAUGAUCCAAAAGCAUCCCUUAAAUAGUUAUAAUUUAGCUUUUAUUGUUGUUAUUUUUGAUAGGAUAUAUAAGUUGUUUUAAAGAAGUCAUCAUGUCUUCAAUUCACGAAAGGUAUAUCUCGGUUCUCUCGCUGUAUCUACAUAGUUUUUUUUACAAGAACACACGGAAGAUCUAAGCUGCACAGCCGAAGAUAAAAAAAUUACAUAGGCUUUGAUAGUUGUAGUGUUCUAACUAUAUUUUCCUAUGGAUAUUAUGCACUGUUCUAAAGUUUCCUGGAUAUAUCCCUAUUACUCUCCCUAUUUCUUAAAAACCAUUUCACAAGGACUAAUUUCUUCUGUUACAAUUGAAAAUUAUAUACUUAAAAACUAUGCUAAAUAACUUAUUACACAGUAGAAAAUAUGUGUGUCAUAACUUUUAAAUUGUACUUAUCAACACUACAUUAAUUACUAUUAUAUUAUAUUUACUCCCUCUGAUUCAAAUUAAUUGACACACACUUAGUACAACUUCUAUAAUUCAAUUGGAGGGAGUAUUACUUUUGCUUGGACCAGUAUCCUACGUGAAGAGAGACGAGAUACUAAACAUAGGUAUGUACCUAUUGUGCCAAUCCAGUGGUAUAUGUACUACAUGAUGUAACAAAUGUGCAUUAUGCCCAAUGUUGCCCCAUUCACUAAAUAGUGGAAGCUAGCAUUCACUACCGAGAGCAACAACUUUACCCUACAUCACGUAAAAUAGACUGGACGUGGCGGCCCUUGAAGAACUAAUCAAAAUAUAAUACUAAUGGAUGAGAAAUUACAAAUUGAGAUGAUUUAUCAAUAUAUUGAUGGCUACUCCUUUCCUAUUUACAACAUACAUACAUGUUUGUUAGCCAUUCACUCUUGCACAAGAUGUCUAUAUGUUGUUUGUCUAAUUACUGCCAUAAAACGGCGAUUGUUUUCUCGAAACAUGGAUGCACUAGAUAUAUGUUUCCCACUCUUUGGACUUUUUUCAAAUAGAAUAUGCAUUGUAUAUUUAAUACCAGGUCAAAAAAUUAGUACAUGUCAUUUACUUUUACGCUGCUAUGAUAAUUUGCAUUUGUGCAGUUUAGGAUAUAUCAAAAAUCUAUCUUUAGGUUUCUAUGAUAUCUAUAUUUAUAAUAGCUAGCCCGUGCAGUUGCACGGGUUAAUGAUCUUAAUGGAUCAAAUUUUUGUUCCUCAUCUUGAUCAGGUUUACAUUAAAAACAUCUGGAUCAGGUUCGUUUCUCACCUGUUUUUACCAAGAUUUGAUCAAAGUUUCACACUCCUUUUUUCUGAUUUGUGCAUUGAAUAAACUUCAAAAUCUGUGUUCCUUAGAUCUGUUGUAUUAAUGUUCUUCUUUCUUUGUUUUUUGUAAUUUAGGUUCUAAAACAAUGGCGACAACACAAAAGAAACCGGGAAAGUAUGUGGACACAGAUUGAUAUAUUAGUUCACAUUAUUGACGCAGUUUUUAGUUUCUUUCCAAGAUAAUUGGUGUAGUUGAUUGAUUGCUUGACCAAAGCAUUCAACGUCACAAACUGGUUAAAAGUGGACCAAUUCUUGGGUUCCAAGUUCCAAUUAUUAUUCAGAUGAUAUAUGUAGUUG
RNAcentral lists this long non-coding RNA (2735 nucleotides) under Hordeum vulgare. RNAcentral's name for it is "long non-coding RNA (HVUL_LNC018112)". Lineage: Eukaryota; Viridiplantae; Streptophyta; Magnoliopsida; Poales; Poaceae. The record is from RNAcentral.